This 254-nucleotide ribosomal RNA is filed under the name uncultured bacterium. RNAcentral describes it as "partial 16S ribosomal RNA". It matches the Rfam family "Bacterial small subunit ribosomal RNA", at positions 524 to 776 of the family's 1533-position model. The record is from RNAcentral.
UACGUAGGGUGCGAGCGUUGUCCGGAAUUAUUGGGCGUAAAGAGCUCGUAGGCGGUCUGUCGCGUCGAUCGUGAAAACUUGGGGCUUAACCCUGAGCUUGCGGUCGAUACGGGCAUGACUGGAGUUCGGCAGGGGAGACUGGAAUUCCUGGUGUAGCGGUGAAAUGCGCAGAUAUCAGGAGGAACACCGGUGGCGAAGGCGGGUCUCUGGGCCGAUACUGACGCUGAGGAGCGGAAGCGUGGGGAGCGAACAGG